This is a long non-coding RNA of Mauremys reevesii (Reeves's turtle), 209 nucleotides long. RefSeq lists it as uncharacterized. The transcript is spliced from 4 exons. The record is from RefSeq and is a predicted model, not a curated record. Lineage: Eukaryota; Metazoa; Chordata; Testudines; Geoemydidae.
AGAUAAAACCUCCAAUUCCAGCAGUCGUGAUCCAGAGACGACCUCUCCCCAUGGACUGCAAAUGAUACUUGGAAUUACAAUUCCUACCACCUUGGGUCUGUGCUUGGUUCUGUAUCUAGUAAUAACGAAAGCUGCAUGUCACCGUAAAAACCAAAGGGAACAAAAUGCAAAGGAGAGCACAGACGAAACUGCAGCAGGGAAACUUAUUG